Molecule: long non-coding RNA, 924 nt
Filed under: Capra hircus (goat)
Lineage: Eukaryota; Metazoa; Chordata; Mammalia; Artiodactyla; Bovidae
Description: lncRNA (ENSCHIG00000006244.1)
Source: RNAcentral
AUGGAAUAUAAAUGAGAUUGUUCCGCUGUCUUGCAUUUUUAAUGACUAAAUAUUUGUUUCAGAUAUCUUAUAAAGCUUUUCCACCACUUUCAUCUGAGAGUCAAUAGGAGGUGAUCCAUUCAAAAUUAUGGUCGAUAACCAGGAAGAGUGAAUGAAACUGAAAUCAAUUUGAAGAGUGAAUUUGAGAUGUCCACCCACUCUACUGUACUCACUCAAAUAGAUCAGCCCUCCUUCUUGAUGUUUUCCAGAAAUACUUGUGCCUCAAUUAAUACCACACUUCACUGGACUUCUGUGGCAUUUAGGUCACAUAAUCCUGUAACCAGCACUGAAAAUAGACAGGUCAUUUGUCUGACAAACAAGGCAAAGAUGAAUGAAGAAAAAGUAAUACUUUUUUUUUUUCAUUCUACCUGAUUUUGCUAAGGAUGAGUCCUGACUGAGAACACAACAUAUUGCCUCCUAAUUAUUAUUCAAGUGGAAAACAAUGAAAAAUGCUGAAUUAGCAUAGAGAAUGAGAGCUUCCUAUAACGAUUCAUUUUUUUCCCUACUUUCCCCAGAGAGAGUUAGUAACAGUGACCUCAUAGAAGGGUAUGGGAAUGUCAGUGAUAAGGACAGCCAAGGUGAGCCCAGCUGGGGAGGCAUGUCAGAAUCUUCAGGAGGAUGGGAACAUCUUGUAGCAGCUGGUCCAGACACUGAGGAUGAAGAGCUGGUCUGUGCUCACCAGGAGACUAGUCUUCCUGACUUCAUAUGAUUCCAUCUCUUUUCUGAUUGGAACUGCGUGUUGCCUGACAAGCAUAGUGAUCUUGAAGACGUAAGACUGUGAAAACAACACAGAAACAAUCCGAAUUUUGGACCAAUGCUUGGAGGAGACCUUCCUACCAAUCAAGAUCACUCAUUCCAGAUUUCUGUAUAGGAAAUAAUACCCUA